RNAcentral lists this unclassified non-coding RNA (927 nucleotides) under uncultured Bordetella sp. RNAcentral's name for it is "partial 16S-23S ribosomal RNA intergenic spacer". It matches the Rfam family "Bacterial small subunit ribosomal RNA", at positions 570 to 1499 of the family's 1533-position model. The record is from RNAcentral. Lineage: Bacteria; Pseudomonadati; Pseudomonadota; Betaproteobacteria; Burkholderiales; Alcaligenaceae.
UGAGCGCGGUUCGGAAAAGAAAGAUGCUUGAAAUCCCAGAGCUUAACUUUGGAACUGCAUUUUUAACACCGAGCUAGAGUGUGUGUCAGAGGGAGGUGGAAUUCCAUAUGCCAGUGAAAUGCAUGAUGUGCGGGGAACACCGAUGGCGAAGGCAGCCUCCUGGGAUAACACUGACGCUCAUGCACGAAAGCGUGGGGAGCAAACAGGAUUAGAUACACCUGUUAGUCCACGCCCUAAACGAUCUCAACUAGCUGUUGGGGACGUAAGGGGCCUUGGUGGCGCAGCUAACGCGUGAAGUUGACCGCCUGGGAAGUACGGUCGCAAGAUUAAAACUCAAAGGAAUUGACGGGGACCCGCACAAGCGGUGGAUGAUGUGGAUUAAUUCGAUGCAACGCGAAAAACCUUACCUACCCUUGACAUGUCUGGAAUCCCGAAGCGAUUUGGGAGUGCUCGCAAAGAGAACCGGAACACAGGUGCUGCUAUGGCUGUCGUCAGCUCGUGUCGUGAGAUGUUGGGUUAAGUCCGCAACGAGCGCAACCCUUCUCGUGAUUGCUACGAAAGGGCACUCUAAUGAGACUGCCGGUGACAAACCGGAGGAAGGUGGGGAUGGCGUCAAGUCCUCAUGGCCCUUAUGGGUAGGGCUUCACGUCGCUACAAUGGUCGGGACGAAGGGUCGCCAACCCGCGAAAGGGGAGCCAAUCCCAGAAACCCGAUCGUAGUCCGGAUCGCAGUCUGCAACUCGACUGCGUGAAGUCGGAAUCGCUAGUAAUCGCGGAUCAGCAUGUCGCGGUGAAUACGUUCCGGGUCUUGUACACACCGCCCGUCACACCAUGGGAGUGGGUUUACCGAAAUAAUUAUAAGCCUAACCGUAAGGAGGGCGAUUACCACGGUAAAGUUCAUGACUGGGGUGAAGUCGUAACAAGGUAA